This is a long non-coding RNA of Ceratina calcarata, 913 nucleotides long. RefSeq lists it as uncharacterized. NCBI's taxonomy places the organism in Eukaryota, Metazoa, Arthropoda, Insecta, Hymenoptera, Apidae. The record is from RefSeq and is a predicted model, not a curated record. The transcript is spliced from 3 exons.
GGGAAUUCGCGUGUGUUGCAACUAAAGGUGUGCGAAAUAUACCUCCUCUAGGAAAAAAUAGGUACUCGAUGAAGAAAGACAUGGGUUAGGUAGUACUACGUUUGGGUUGAGUGAAAUUUGCAAUAUUUUCGUCACGACUACGCCCCUAAUUUCGACGGCCAUAUAUCUUUGUAACUCCUCGAAAUAAGGGUCUGCCCUUUCAUUACCCUCGACCUCCCAUGGCGCACAUUGGAUGGGAUUGAACCCUUGGCCAACCAAUGAAUCGUUCCAAACAGAUUUCCCAGCUUAAGGAUUAACAGUGGAUAUUUCAUGCAGAAAAUUGUGUGGAAAACAGCUCGGACGAACGAUAAAAUGUCCUUCCCGGCCUCAGUAUCGAGCAAUAAAGCCUCGAAGAAGUGAUAGCGGCUAAUAGACACGUAAACAUCUUUAUUCCAGCUCGUGCGCACGUGAAAACGUUUCCAUUCAGCGUGCAGGCGUAAAUUAAUUUAAUAGUCAUCGUUGCAAAUGUUUUCCAAAGUGGAGUAUGUAAUCAGCGAGUAAUUACGAUAUCGAGAAUCGAAUAAGAGACAAGGAAAUAAAUUGUGCGGAUUAAGCGGAGAGAUGAAUGCAGCUACGGGACAUUGUUAUAAUUUCCAAAUCGACAAGCCGGUCAAUUUGUCACCACGGUUACGUAUAAGCAAAUUUACACACGGCAUCAAGCGUAGAUCAUUUUCCGCAGACAUCCGCAAGUGUCACGUUAAUUUCCAACGAUCGAUAAUUCAUCAUCUGGUCUAUUAACCCAUUCAGGAAUUAUUUUCACCCGAGAAUGACUCUUCGCUUAUGACGUUAGAAGUCUACAAAAUUAUAUCAGUUCUCAUCUUUAAUCGUUUAAUUAUAUUAGAAAAGAUAAUGAGUAUUCAGCAACAGAGCUGAA